CCUACGGGGGGCUGCAGUGAGGAAUAUUGGUCAAUGGACGAGAGUCUGAACCAGCCAAGUAGCGUGAAGGAUGACUGCCCUAUGGGUUGUAAACUUCUUUUAUAUGGGAAUAAAAUGUUCCACGUGUGGGAUUUUGUAUGUACCAUAUGAAUAAGGAUCGGCUAACUCCGUGCCAGCAGCCGCGGUAAUACGGAGGAUCCGAGCGUUAUCCGGAUUUAUUGGGUUUAAAGGGAGCGUAGGUGGAUUGUUAAGUCAGUUGUGAAAGUUUGCGGCUCAACCAUAAAAUUGCAGUUGAAACUGGCAGUCUUGAGUACAGUAGAGGUGGGCGGAAUUCGUGGUGUAGCGGUGAAAUGCUUAGAUAUCACGAAGAACUCCGAUUGCGAAGGCAGUUCACUGGACUGCAACUGACACUGAGGCUCGAAAGUGUGGGUAUCAAACAGGAUUAGAUACCCGUGUAGUC
Molecule: ribosomal RNA, 460 nt
Filed under: uncultured bacterium
Lineage: Bacteria
Description: partial 16S ribosomal RNA
Rfam family: Bacterial small subunit ribosomal RNA
Source: RNAcentral